GCCUCUGUAGCUCAGUUGGUAGAGCAUAGCACUGAAAAUGCUAGGGUCACCGGUUCAAGUCCGGUUGGAGGCACCA
RNAcentral lists this transfer RNA (76 nucleotides) under bacterium. RNAcentral's name for it is "tRNA-Phe". It matches the Rfam family "tRNA". From Rfam's summary of the family: Transfer RNA (tRNA) molecules are approximately 80 nucleotides in length. Their secondary structure includes four short double-helical elements and three loops (D, anti-codon, and T loops). Further hydrogen bonds mediate the characteristic L-shaped molecular structure. tRNAs have two regions of fundamental functional importance: the anti-codon, which is responsible for specific mRNA codon recognition, and the 3' end, to which the tRNAs corresponding amino acid is attached (by aminoacyl-tRNA synthetases). tRNAs cope with the degeneracy of the genetic code in two manners: having more than one tRNA (with a specific anti-codon) for a particular amino acid; and 'wobble' base-pairing, i.e. permitting non-standard base-pairing at the 3rd anti-codon position. The record is from RNAcentral.